GGAGCUAAUACCGAUAAUAUUUCGAACCGCAUGGUUCGGUAGUGAAAGAUGGUUUUGCUAUCACUUAUAGAUGGACCUGCGCCGUAUUAGCUAGUUGGUAAGGUAACGGCUUACCAAGGCGACGAUACGUAGCCGACCUGAGAGGGUGAUCGGCCACACUGGAACUGAGACACGGUCCAGACUCCUACGGGGAGGGCAGCAGCU
Molecule: ribosomal RNA, 204 nt
Filed under: uncultured Staphylococcus sp.
Lineage: Bacteria; Bacillati; Bacillota; Bacilli; Caryophanales; Staphylococcaceae
Description: partial 16S ribosomal RNA
Rfam family: Bacterial small subunit ribosomal RNA
Source: RNAcentral